RNAcentral lists this ribosomal RNA (486 nucleotides) under uncultured Acidobacteriota bacterium. RNAcentral describes it as "bacterial SSU rRNA". It matches the Rfam family "Bacterial small subunit ribosomal RNA", at positions 38 to 541 of the family's 1533-position model. The record is from RNAcentral. Lineage: Bacteria; Pseudomonadati; Acidobacteriota.
GGCGGCGUGCCUAACACAUGCAAGUCGAACGAGAAAGUGGAGCAAUCCAUGAGUAGAGUGGCGUACGGGUGAGUAACACGUGACUAACCUUCCUUCGAGUGGGGAAUAACCUCGGGAAACCAGGGCUAAUACCGCAUAACAUCACCGGGUGAAACUCCCGAUGAUCAAAGGGGUAAGACGCUUGAAGAGGGGGUCGCGGCUGAUUAGUUAGUUGGCGGGGUAAUGGCCCACCAAGACGAUGAUCAGUAGCCGGCCUGAGAGGGCGCACGGCCACACUGGGACUGAAACACGGCCCAGACUCCUACGGGAGGCAGCAGUGGGGAAUUUUGCGCAAUGGGGGAAACCCUGACGCAGCAACGCCGCGUGGAGGAUUAAGUCCCUUGGGAUGUAAACUCCUUUCGACGGGGAAGAAACUGACGGUACCCGUAGAAGAAGCCCCGGCUAACUUCGUGCCAGCAGCCGCGGUAAUACGAAGGGGGCAAGCGU